AGGACGAACGCUGGCGGCGUGCCUAACACAUGCAAGUCGAACGAGAAGUUCAUUAAUGAUACCUUCGGGUUGAAUUAAUGAAUGGACAGUGGCGGACGGGUGAGUAACACGUGAGUAACCUGCCUCUCAGUGGGGAAUAACACACCGAAAGGUGUGCUAAUACCGCAUAACGUAGUUUUACCGCAUGAUAGAACUACCAAAGAUUUAUCGCUGAGAGAUGGGCUCGCGUCCAAUUAGCUAGAUGGUGAGGUAACGGCUCACCAUGGCGACGAUUGGUAGCCGGACUGAGAGGUUGAACGGCCACAUUGGGACUGAGACACGGCCCAGACUCCUACGGGAGGCAGCAGGUGGGGAAUAUUGCACAAUGGGGGAAACCCUGAUGCAGCGACGCCGCGUGAGCGAAGAAGGUUUUCGGAUCGUAAAGCUCUGUCUUCAGGGACGAUAAUGACGGUACCUGAGGAGGAAGCCACGGCUAACUACGUG
This 483-nucleotide ribosomal RNA is filed under the name uncultured bacterium. RNAcentral describes it as "bacterial SSU rRNA". It matches the Rfam family "Bacterial small subunit ribosomal RNA", at positions 26 to 507 of the family's 1533-position model. The record is from RNAcentral.